Molecule: non-coding RNA, 718 nt
Organism: Drosophila melanogaster (fruit fly)
Lineage: Eukaryota; Metazoa; Arthropoda; Insecta; Diptera; Drosophilidae
Source: Ensembl
AGUAUACUUUUGGCUAAUAAUGAAGGUCUUAAGAAUCAUGGGUAUUCUGUUGUUGGCGUAUCUUUAUUGUUUGUUGCUAACGCAAAGCAAAGAUGGUACAAUUUGCAUAAAGGCCUGCCAUAUCCCAUACUAGGACCGACCAUUUAAAGUGAAACCUCGCAAUAAAGUUCCUUUGUAAUGCUGUCUACGUCGAGAAUCUUUAAAAUCCAUCGUAAGGUUUGUUGAGUUAUGGCCAAGUGUAUAGCUUUAAUCUGAGAGAUGGCUAUGGCAAUCAGAUAGAAAUCAGAAGCAGUGAAUAAGACAGGAAAUAUGUGAAAGAAUUAAUCCUAUCUGAAUCUGAAUGCUAAAGAUGUAUCUUAACUACUUAUCAAAAUUUCGAAAACUGCUAAAAACUAAAUUGAACAUUCUAACUCAUUGACUAUCAUUUGAAGCUUGCCAAUUCUAGUCCAUCAAAGGUUUACUUUUCUAUAGUUCUUCGAAUCUGAAAUCGUUAUCAAUGGCUUUCAAUACUAUGGCGGUUCAUUCACAACCGAUUGGGCCAAUUUGUCAGUCAACUGUUCAUUCAAAAAUCGAGAUGUGUUAACAUGUAAAUUGAUAUCUCAAAAUUGUUCACUGCCUUAACGAUUGAGAACGAACUAAAGUUGAGUUAAAAUUUACGAUCGUCGGAAGAGGCAAAAGAAAGAUGCAAAUAAACCUAUUUACAUACCAUAUAUGCGAU